ACGGAGAGUUUGAUCCUGGCUCAGGAUGAACGUUGGCGGCGUGCCUAAUACAUGCAAGUCGAACGGUAGUAUCGCGUUCGCGCGGUAUGAGAGUGGCGAACGGGUGAGUAACACGUAACUGAUCUGCCCCUUAGAUUGGGAUAACCUUUGGAAACAGAGGCUAAUACCGGAUGAGACCGUGGUAGUUAGAGAGCUGCGGUGAAAGUGAAUGCGCUGAGGGAUGAGGUUGCGAGCCAUCAGCUAGUUGGUGAGGUAAGGGCUCACCAAGGCGAUGACGGAUAGGGGACCUGAGAGGGUGGCCCCCCACACUGGGACUGAGACACGGCCCAGACUCCUACGGGAGGCAGCAGUAAGGGAUAUUGCGCAAUGGACGGAAGUCUGACGCAGCGACGCCGCGUGGGUGAAGAAGGUUUUCGGAUCGUAAAGCCCUUUUCUAUGUGACGAGGUAGGACGGUAGCAUAGGAAUAAGUGUCGGCUAACUACGUGCCAGCAGCCGCGGUAAAACGUAGGACGCGAACGUUAUCCGGAGUUACUGGGCGUAAAGCGCGCGCAGGCGGUUGGAUAAGUUACCUAUGAAAGGUACAGGCUAAACUUGUAUUGGUUAGGUAAAACUGUUUGACUAGAGAGAAAUAGAGGGAAGUAGAAUUCCGGGUGUAGUGGUGAAAUGCGUAGAUAUCCGGAGGAAUACCGGUGGCGAAGGCGGCUUCCUGGAUUUCCACUGACGCUGAGGCGCGAAAGCGUGGGUAGCGAACAGGAUUAGAUACCCUGGUAGUCCACGCCGUAAACGAUGUACAUUAGGCGUUCGGCAGCGCAAGUUGUUGAGUGUCGCAGCAAACGCGAUAAAUGUACCGCCUGGGGAGUACGGUCGCAAGGCUAAAACUCAAAGGAAUUGACGGGGGCCCGCACAAGCAGCGGAGCGUGUGGUUUAAUUCGAGGCUACGCGAAGAACCUUACCUGGGAGUGACAUGUCGGUAGUACGGAAGCGAAAGCGGAAGGACCCUUCGGGGAGCCGUCACAGGUGCUGCAUGGUUGUCGUCAGCUCGUGCCGUGAGGUGUUCGGUUAAGUCCGCAAACGAGCGCAACCCUCGGUGCUAGUUAUACGUGUCUAGCAUGACUGCCCGUGACAAACGGGAGGAAGGUGGGGAUGACGUCAAAUCAGCAUGGCCUUAAUAUCCAGGGCGACACACACGCUACAAUGGUCGGUACAAUAGGUAGCGAAGCAGCGAUGUGGAGCGAAUCCUGUAAAGCCGGUCUCAGUUCGGAUUGCAGGCUGCAACUCGCCUGCAUGAAGUCGGAGUUGCUAGUAACCGCAGGUCAGCAAUACUGCGGUGAAUACGUUCCCGGGCCUUGUACACACCGCCCGUCACGUCAUGGGAGUUGGUCGAGCCUGAAGUCGGGAAGCCAACCCAAUUGGGGGGCUACUGCCUAGGGCAGGGUCGAUGACUGGGACGAAGUCGUAACAAGGUAGCUGUAGCGGAAGCUGCGGCUGGAUCACCUCCUUUCU
RNAcentral lists this ribosomal RNA (1504 nucleotides) under Gemmatimonadota bacterium. RNAcentral's name for it is "bacterial SSU rRNA". It matches the Rfam family "Bacterial small subunit ribosomal RNA". Lineage: Bacteria; Pseudomonadati; Gemmatimonadota. The record is from RNAcentral.